Molecule: long non-coding RNA, 1151 nt
Filed under: Sus scrofa (pig)
Lineage: Eukaryota; Metazoa; Chordata; Mammalia; Artiodactyla; Suidae
Description: lncRNA (ENSSSCG00070029188.1)
Source: RNAcentral
GCAGCUCCUAACCUUUUGUUGGGUCCCCUGCCCCUUGGAGAAUCUGCGGAAAGCUACACGCUGUCUCUUCAGACGAGGAAGACAGGGUGCGCAUUCAUGCGCCUAUGACUUCAGGGCUGUCACAGAUCCCUGAAAAGUCAAGGAAAGCCUUGUCUAUGCCAGUGAUUUCCCAGGCUGAGGCUCCAGUGGAAUGAAUGAAUGAAUGAAUGAACAGGUGAGGAGCAGAGAAGCUGCACGCAGAUGGAGGAACCCAAGGUACUUUUUGACUCUUUUUCUGGGGAGACAAAGUCGGAGCUUAGAGAAAUACUCCUACGAUUGUUUAUUUACACGUUCAUCCCAUGACGUCUUACUCAUCUUGAUGUCCCCAGCAAACAGCGCAGGGGACCUCCUGAGGCUUGGGACGGGUGCGUUAAUCAAGGGUCCCUCUGGAGAGCGGUUGUCCUUCCCAGCAGCUCAACCUCCUGCCGUUAGGGCCCCUCUGCCCUCGCACCGCCUCCACUGCCAGUCUCCUGGGGACCUGUGAGCGCCCUGUGCAGAUCAUGAGGAAAGGGGCGCGGAGGGCCCCUCCGAGGAGUAAACUCACGACUCACUUAUGUGACGGGCUUGGGUUACGCGCCUUAAAGGACGGCCGCCCUGCUGCAGCCGUGCCUUCGGAGAUCCGGGUGGGUGAGGGCACCAGCUGGGAAAACUCCUCCGGUGAGUUGCCAUGGUAACCAUGACCUUGCCUCUCCUGAAGCGAGUCCCGAGAGGAAGCCGCCCCAGGGGGUGGGGAGGAGGGUAGGAAUCCAUCAAAAGCCCCGAACCCUGCCCUCCUAUACCCUUUUCUUCGCUCCUCGCGGUUUACACGCUCAAGGUAGAUGCCAUUGUGUGUGGGCAUCUGAGUAGAAGCUGCUGAAAAUAGCCACUCGACUAUUUCAGGGAGAAGAUGAAUAUGCAUGAAGCUAUUUCAGAAAAGCUGUCCCUGGCCCGGCCAAUCCAAACCCCAUCCUUCCCUUUGGAAAUGCCAAGAGAGGCUGAAUGGGACCUUUCUUAGGCUGGCCCACGGGGGUGGGGGGUUUUCAGAAGCCGCAGAAACACCCUGGCUAAUGUUGGUCUUGCAGCUCUGUCAGCUCUGCCUCCCCAUCCUGUGGUCACAGAGGCUCCUGGCCAGA